UCGAAAUGCUCACCUAUACUUUAGGGGAAAAAAACCCACAACAUUUUGCAAAAAUGGAAUAAAUGAUCAUUCAAAGCAAAAGCAUGCAGUUCAAAAGCUAAACCUCCCAUUGGAGAACAGAAAAUUUAAUGAGCUUUUAAUGGAAUGCAAUGCUCAGAGUAGUAAAUUAUUUGUUAGUUGACGAUGCAAUCAGCAUGCUGAUUAAGGUUGCUUGGUUUUUUACUAAACAUUAACUGAAUGAAAACGGGUAGCCCUUGUUCUGCUUGGGGGGCUUUAAGGAAGCAAAUGGACUUUCAGAACAGAGAUUGUCAAUAAAGGAAGAAGGAAUGAAGUGAGAAAUAUGUGAUGCAUGGUACAACCGAACAGAAGGAGGCCUUUUCAAAGACACCGACCUGUGAGGGACCUGGUUGUGGCUGCAUCCACUCCAGGAACCAGAAUACACUCUGCGGAUAUGGUGGACUCUACCUGAUUUAGUCAUUUUUCCUUAACAACACCUAAAGACAAUGCUUAAGACACUUAAUCCGAAAGCAAGCAAAACAACAUGGCAAAUGGAGCCCGAUGGUGCAGCCAGAGGAACCCUGAGGCUGGAGUUCUGGGGCUCAGGGUGUGAUACUCAGAAAAAUAAUUUGCCUCUCUGCAUUUCAACAUGUGUUCCUAAGUGGAGAUUUUUACUGAAUGAGAAAGCAAUAUUGCAAAUAUUGCUAUUAAUUCAAACACAUGGCACAGGAGUCAUGAAUACCACAGUAAGCACCUAUAGGGGGCGUUCAUUAUUUCUUUAUUAGUGCAUGUUUGUGGUAUAUAAUGUUUACAUUAUUUGUGGGGAAUUGGUACAUGUUCACAAUAGAUCUUAGUUCCGUUUUAAAUCUCCUUUCCCAUCAUCCUUUCUUUCCCCUCUAUGCAUCUCUGGCCAUUAGAGAAAUGCAAAGUAAAACAGCACUGAGAUUCCAUCUUAACCCAGAAAGAAUGGCUACCAUCAAGAAAUCAGAUAAUAACUAAUGCUGGCAGGGAUGUGGGGGGAAAGGGAGCUACCUACAUUAUUGAUUGGAAUGUAAACUAAUACAACCACUUUGGAAAUCAGUAUAGAGAUUCCUAAAAAAUCUGAAACUAGAAACUCCAUUUGACCAAGCUGUUCUCCUAAGUAUCUUCCUGAAAGAAUUAAAGUCAUCAUGUUACAGAGAUACAUGCAUAACAUUUUUAUAGCAGCAGAAUUCAUAAUAGCUGAAUGUCUAUCAACAUAUGUCUAUCAACAGAUGAAUAGAUAAGAAAACAUAUUUACACACCCUGGAGUGCUACUCUGCCAUAAAGACAAAGUGGAGUCAUUUGCAGGAAAAUGGAUGCACCUUGAGACCAUAAUGUUAAGUGAAAUAAAUCAGACACACAAGCUUAAACAUCACAUAGUUUCUCUUAUAUAAGAAACCCAAAGAAUAAACAAAAGGCAAAAUAAAAGAUAGAUGAUCAGAAGCAGGGAGAUAGAUCUUCCUCAAAUGAGAAGAGGAUGAAGAGAUGCAGAGAAGGGGAGGGAGGAGAGGGAAAGAGGAUGAAAAACUAACGAAGAUGUGUUCUGUUCUGGUUCCAACUCCACACAAGGAAUGGAAACAUCAUGUAUUGCAGACAUGUAUAAAAAUUUUUUAAAUUUUAUAAAAUUAAAAAAAUUUUUUUUGUUAAGAAACAAAAAUCCUCAAAAAGAAAGAAGUCCUUUAAGAAUACCAAAUAUUGGGGCUGGGGAUUUAGCUCAGUGGUUCCGGCGCCUGCUGUGCAAGUACAAGGACCCGAGUUCGAUCCUCGGUACCCAAAAGAAAAAAAAAAGAAUACCGAAAAUGCUCCUUUUCUAGUCUCGAUAAGUGAGAAAACCAAGGGAGAAACGUGCUGAGAAUGGGUUUGGGGAAGCUAUUGAACAUCUACAGUGUUGGCUAUAGGAAGCUACUGGUCACCCCCAGUUGGGUCUGAUGACAGAGAGCGCCUUCUACUUCUGUUGCUUAUGCCUGUGACACCACAUUCUUGAUUUCUGGAGCUGAGAUAAUUAUAGUACUAAUUUCCUAAAGUUCUUAUAUGUUCAUUUUGUGAGCUAGGGAAUGGAAAGUGCUCAACACAAUGUCUGGCACAUAGCAGGCUUUAAUUAAUAUGGGCAACUGUAGAAGUGCCCAGGAAUUACUGACGUUAUGCUCAGCUCAUACUUCUCUUUGACUAAGGAGAGUGAGCCCAUUAACAUUGUCUGUAUAGUGCCUUUAACUUUUCAAAAACAGUGUUUGUCCAAGGAAUUCCCACCUCGAGCUCUGGCGAUGUCCUCCAAAAAAGUGUGGGUGGAACCGACCCCACAUCGCAGGCCUGGGGGGGACCCCUGCAGCUGACCCGGGGCAGAGCUGCUCAGGCCGGAAGUGGAUAGACACCCAGCUGUGCCCUGAGAGGGGCCGCCAGGAUUCCAGGCAAGGUCUUUAUUGCUGAAACUCUUGCAUAAUGACAUCUUUAUUCAUGUGAAAGCGCAGUGUGGAAUUCCACUGUAUGAAAUUGUUUAUGUUCAUCAGAAAUGUUAUUUGUCUUUACAAAGUCUGGUUUCAAUGAACCUGCUCUGUAAUGGAUAUUAAAUAAACAUGGAAUUUUACACGUUCAUAAUAUUUGGUUUCUUGUUGUGAUUUUGAUGAACUACGCUUUCAAGCAUUGUCAGUUCAUCCUUAUUUACAAAGAACCAUUUGCUUGUAGCAGAGUGAUGUAGUGACUUGCUCUAUUUUAAGAUAAAGUCAACUUUUCUAUUCAAUGUUUAAUGUGAAACUCAGAAAUAUUCUUUUAGGUCACAUUUACAUCUCUGUCUGUAUAACAUGCACUAUAUUAUUUUAACUAAUACUGUGAGCUAUAUAAACCAAAGACAUUCUAAUUCUGCUUUUAAUGUAUUUUUUGUAAGAUAAAUAAUUUAUAAUGCACUAAUAAAACUAAGGAGCUCAUGUUAAAACUUGUUAUAUGACCUACUGAAAUUGAUCUAUAGAAACUGACUCUCUUAAAAAUAAUUUCAUAAAAUUAUUUUGUAUAAAAUUGACUUCUUUGUAUGAAUUCUUGACAAGUAUAAAACAAAACUUUGAAACUCCGUUUCCAUCUUUCUACACAUUGAAAAGAAGUAAUUGAAUACUUUCUAAGUCUGUGAUUUUUCUGUCUCUGGGAAAAAGAAACCAGAUUAAUCGUGAACACUUGACUUGCACCAGUUUAUGGUCACCUAUUUAAAAUAUGAAAUUCCAAUUUCCAAUGAUGAAUGUCCUUAUAUUGCAUACCUAAAAUGUACCAAUGAUUAGAAUGAAUAAUCGAUAAAGCAAAAUAGGAAGAAAAGGUCCAAAGGUGUAGGGAAUAGUGGGAGAGGCAGGGGAAAGGAAAGAAGGGAAAGGAAAAAUGAUGAGAAAUGGAAAAAAUGGAAAUAAAGUCUUCGUAAAUAGGGAAGGGUGGAGGACGUGAAGGGAGGACUAGGAAUGGGGAAAAAAUAAG
Long non-coding RNA from Heterocephalus glaber (naked mole-rat), 3465 nucleotides. Lineage: Eukaryota; Metazoa; Chordata; Mammalia; Rodentia; Bathyergidae. The record is from Ensembl.